GAUGAAGAACGUAGCGAAAUGCGAUAAGUAAUGUGAAUUGCAGAAUUCAGUGUAUCAUCGAAUCUUUGAACGCACCUUGCACUCCUUGGUAUUCCGAGGAGUACGCCUGUUCGAGUGUUAUGAAGCUCUCAAAACGCAAUUGGCUUAAAACCUGAUUGUUGUUUUGGAUUUGAACUUUGCCGUGUUAUAACGGCUGGUUUUAAAAGUAUUAGCUGGUACUAGAACGAAUUGGUUCUACUCAACGUGAUAAUUAUCUGAUCGUUGAGGACAUUCCUUUCACGAGGAAUGGCCAUAGUAAAUUCAAUGGACUGCUUCUAAUCUGGCUUUAAUUCUUUAUUGGAUUAACCACUUUUCAAAUCUGACCUCGAAUCAGGUGGGACUACCCGCUGAACUUAAGCAUAUCAAUAAGCGGAGGA
This 416-nucleotide unclassified non-coding RNA is filed under the name soil metagenome. RNAcentral describes it as "partial contains 5.8S ribosomal RNA, internal transcribed spacer 2, and large subunit ribosomal RNA". The stretch from base 1 to 120 matches the Rfam family "5.8S ribosomal RNA", at positions 35 to 154 of the family's 154-position model. The record is from RNAcentral.